CCUACGGGAGGCAGCAGUGGGGAAUAUUGGGCAAUGGGCGCAAGCCUGACCCAGCAACGCCGCGUGAAGGAAGAAGGCUUUCGGGGUGUAAACUUCUUUUCUCAGGGACGAAGAAAGUGACGGUACCUGAGGAAUAAGCCACGGCUAACUACGUGCCAGCAGCCGCGGGAUUCCGUAGGUGGCAAGCGUUAUCCGGAUUUAUUGGGUGGAAAGGGCGUGUAGGCGGGAGCGCAAGUACGAUGUGAAAACUCAGGGCUCAAACCUGAGCCUGCAUUUGAAACUGUGUUUCUUGAGUGCUGGGGAGGCAAUCGGAAUUCCGUGUGUAGCGGUGAAAUGCGUAGAUAUACGGAGGAACACCAGUGGCGAAGGCGGAUUGAUGGACAGUAACUGACGCUGAGGCGCGAAAGCGUGGGGAGCAAACAGGAUUAGAUACCCCGGUAGUC
RNAcentral lists this ribosomal RNA (443 nucleotides) under uncultured bacterium. RNAcentral describes it as "partial 16S ribosomal RNA". It matches the Rfam family "Bacterial small subunit ribosomal RNA", at positions 338 to 795 of the family's 1533-position model. The record is from RNAcentral.